RNAcentral lists this ribosomal RNA (488 nucleotides) under uncultured bacterium. Its description in RNAcentral is "partial 16S ribosomal RNA". It matches the Rfam family "Bacterial small subunit ribosomal RNA", at positions 30 to 505 of the family's 1533-position model. The record is from RNAcentral.
AUUGAACGCUGGCGGCAGGCCUAACACAUGCAAGUCGAACGGUAACAGGAAGCAGCUUGCUGCUUUGCUGACGAGUGGCGGACGGGUGAGUAAUGUCUGGGAAACUGCCUGAUGGAGGGGGAUAACUACUGGAAACGGUAGCUAGUACCGCAUAACGUCGCAAGACCAAAGAGGGGGACCUUCGGGCCUCUUGCCAUCGGAUGUGCCCAGAUGGGAGUAGCUAGUAGGUGGGGUAACGGCUCACCUAGGCGACGAUCCCUAGCUGGUCUGAGAGGAUGACCAGCCACACGGGAACUGAGACACGGUCCAGACUCCUACGGGAGGCAGCAGUGGGGAAUAUUGCACAAUGGGCGCAAGCCUGAUGCAGCCAUGCCGCGUGUAUGAAGAAGGCCUUCGGGUUGGAAAGUACUUUCAGCGGGGAGGAAGGGAGUAAAGUUAAUACCUUUGCUCAUUGACGUUACCCGCAGAAGAAGCACCGGCUAACUCCG